UCACCAAUCAUUUAUUGGGUAUUUUAGUACAGUUCCAUAGAUUUUCUUGUGAAAGGUUUUCAGGCUCCAGGAGCUAUAGAUUGACAGUGUUGGCUCAUUGGAAUCUGCAAACAGAUGACAUAUGCUGUCUCUCUGAUUUGCGUGAUCAGAAACUAGGAAGGCAUCAAGCUGGAAUCAGUCCAUUCAGCUCUGCUGAUAAAAGCUCAGUGACCAGUCCUUCUGGUAGGGGUAGAAAUGUGGGUGUGCUGGGUGUCGUGGACAUCUCCUAGCAGCUUCUCAUUGUGUUUCAUUUUAGUGUAGACUACGAGGUUUGCAGUUUCUAAUGGUUCAUCCACAGGAGCUUAGUAAAAUCCAUGUGUCCCUUCCUCAGGCUGCAAUGUAUAGCUUCAGAAUACCUUUCCUAUUUCUGAACUUUUGGGAGAAAUUUCUACCUUUCAGUGAUACAAUCAUGUCCCCCUACAGGAGGGAAAACCAGGAAAUGAUUUAAAUCCCCAAAUUAAUCAAAAUUGGGAUCUGAUUAUUUUACCCAAUUUACCCCUCAGAUUUCACCCAACCCAAACACCCUGGAAAUGCUGCUCAGAGAGCUGAAAUGCCCUGAAAGUGUAUAUUAGUCCCCCAAACAUUUUUGCAGAUAGAUAGAGUAGAAGAGAGAUUUAAAACAUACAUUUUCAUCUCUUAAACAGAAGUAAGGAUGAACUUGACACGUAGAUUUCUUCCUUGGCUUCUUGUUGCUCUGACUCUGGUGCACGCGCAGCCUAGUGCUGACCCUGUCUCUGCUCUAGUACAUAUUCGUAGAAGGGGUUGGGAGAAAGAGUUGCCUUGGUAGGGUGGCUUAUACCUUGUUCUCUUCUUUGGGGUCUCUCAGUGCUCUGGGUUGGAUGGAAGGCCAGGUCACUGUGUCUUCCCUGGGAACCUCGACUCUGGCCUUCCUCAUUCAUGUGGAAUUUUUCUCUGUUAGCACGGCCUUGCUGGGUCCUAUGGGACUGUUGAUCCUGGGACCCUUGAUACCUCUCUUUAUCCUCAUGGGUUUGCCUAUCCUGUCGUUGCUGACAGUUUUGAUCCUCUUCAUGGGUUUGCUUGUCUCGUCUCUGACGGGUCUGCUCAUCUUCAUGGGUUUGCUUGUCUCGUCUAUGACGGGUCUGCUCUUGUCUCUCUGUCUGGCCAUAUGGGAACCCUGGCCUUGUGUGUCUGUAUGACCAUAGUGAGAACUCUGACCUUGUCUAUCUGUCUGGCCAUAGUGGGAACCUUGACUUUGUCUGUCUAUCUGGCCAUAGUGGGAACCCUGGCCUUGUCUCUCUGUCUGGCCAUAUUGAGAGCUCAGGCCUUGUCUAUCUGUCUGACCAUAGUGAGAACUCUGGCCUUGUCUAUCUGUCUGGCCAUAGUGGGAACCCUGGCUUUGUCUGUCCGUCUGGCCAUAGUGGGAACUCUGGCCUUGUCUAUCUGUCUGGCCAUGGCAGGAGCUCUGGCCUUGUCUCUCUGUCUGGCCAAAGUGAGAGCUCUGGCUUUCUCUGUCUGACUGACCAUAGUGAGAACUCUGGCCUUGUCUGUCUGUCUGGCCAUAAUGAGAACCCAGUUCUUGCCUAUUUCUCCUACCAUGGCCUGAUUCCUGACCCAGCCUCUCAGAUUGCUCAUAAUAAGAGCCUGAUUCCUGUUGGUUUGUGUGGCUGGAGGAGUCCUCUCCCAGUCUUCCAGACUGGCCACAGCUUGACUGUUGCCCAAGCUUAUCAGAUUGGCCAUAAUGAGAAUCCUGAAGUUGUUUCUCACACUGAUUUAAGGCAAAGACAUAUCCUUGUCCUUUAGGCUUGCCACUGCCAAAUGUAUGGCUCAGUUUUUUAUCAGAGCUGGAGUCCUGACCUUGUGUCUGAGACUGACCAUAGCAAGAGUCCCUAUCUUGUCUCCCAGACUGACCAUAGUGGGAGUCCCUGUCUUGUCUCCCAGACUGACCGUAGUGGGAGUCCCUGUCUUGUCUCUCAGACUGACCGUAGUGGGAGUCCCUGUCUUGUCUCC
This 2007-nucleotide long non-coding RNA is filed under the name Sus scrofa (pig). RNAcentral's name for it is "lncRNA (ENSSSCG00030069303.1)". Lineage: Eukaryota; Metazoa; Chordata; Mammalia; Artiodactyla; Suidae. The record is from RNAcentral.